This 489-nucleotide ribosomal RNA is filed under the name uncultured bacterium. Its description in RNAcentral is "partial 16S ribosomal RNA". It matches the Rfam family "Bacterial small subunit ribosomal RNA", at positions 29 to 507 of the family's 1533-position model. The record is from RNAcentral.
AUGAACGCUAGCUACAGGCUUAACCCAUGCAAGUCGCGGGGCAGCAUGGGGGUUGCUUGCAAUCCCCGAUGGCGACCGGCGCACGGGUGAGUAACGCGUAUCCAACCUGCCCUUCACCACGGGAUAACCCGGCGAAAGUCGGACUAAUACCGUAUGUUGUCCAUUGACGGCAUCCGAUUUGGACGAAAGGUUUGGCGGUGAAGGAUGGGGAUGCGUCCGAUUAGCUGGACGGCGGGGUGACGGCCCACCGUGGCGACGAUCGGUAGGGGUUCUGAGAGGAAGGUCCCCCACACUGGAACUGAGACACGGUCCAGACUCCUACGGGAGGCAGCAGUGAGGAAUAUUGGUCAAUGGGCGUAAGCCUGAACCAGCCAAGUAGCGUGCAGGAUGACGGCCCUAUGGGUUGUAAACUGCUUUUAUGCGGGGAUAAAGUGGCCCACGUGUGGGUUUUUGCAGGUACCGCAUGAAUAAGGACCGGCUAAUUCCGUG